RNAcentral lists this ribosomal RNA (792 nucleotides) under Uroctonus mordax (western forest scorpion). Its description in RNAcentral is "12S ribosomal RNA". The record is from RNAcentral. Lineage: Eukaryota; Metazoa; Arthropoda; Arachnida; Scorpiones; Chactidae.
AUAAAUUUCAUGGGUAUGUAGUAAAAUUUAAAUAUAUUUAUUUUCUAUAAUUGAAAUAUUUACAGUUGUAGAACGUUUAAUUCUAGCUAAAGAAUACAUUAAUAUUAAGGAGAUUAUAUGAAAUUUAUAAAUUAUUUUUUGUAGUUUACAAAAUUAAAAAUUAACAAAAUUAGAUUUUGCUAUAAUCAUAAAGUUUUAGUAAAAAUAUGUGCCAGCAGCUGCGGUUAUACUAUUGAAGCAAAUGUAUUAUUUUUAUAAUGAUAAAUUAUUAUAUUUGAAAUAAAAAAAGUUUGAUAAGGUGAAAUUUUCAAAUUAUUUAUAUUCACAAGAUGAUUUUUUUGAAAUUUUAGAAAAAACUAGGAUUAGAUACCCUAUUAUUGAAAAAUUAUAAAAUUAGGUAGUAAAGAAUUUUCCGAAACCUAAAGAAUUUGGCGGUAUUUUAAAUAAUUGGAGGAACCUGUUGUUUAAUUGACAAUCCACAACACAUCUUACCUAAAUAAAGUUUGUAUAUCAUUGUUUUAGGAUAAUAUUUUAAAAUAAUAAUCUAAGAUAAUCUAUUUUUAUAAAUCAAAUCAAGAUGCAGCGUAUUUAGGACAUAAUGGGUUACAAUAUAAUUUAUAUACAAUGGAUAAUUUAUGAAAAAUUAUUUGCAAAGAGGAUUCAAAAGUAAUUUAGUAUUAAAAUGUUUAUUUGAUUAAUAAUUUAAAAUAUGCACAUAUCGCCCGUCACUCUUUCUAUUUAAGAAAGAUAAGUCGUAACAUAGUAGGUUCACCGGAAGGUGACUCUAGAAUG